Molecule: long non-coding RNA, 1010 nt
Filed under: Homo sapiens (human)
Lineage: Eukaryota; Metazoa; Chordata; Mammalia; Primates; Hominidae
Description: non-protein coding lnc-NSMCE1-12:1
Source: RNAcentral
ACAUGACGCCUGCGCGGUCUAUGCCUCUGAACCCGGCCUCUCCACUUCUGAGGAACUGGAGCUGACUCCGCUCUCGAGUUGCUCAGACUAACCUCUCUUCAGCUGGGACGGUGUCGAGUCGCCUUUGGGCUGGCGAAGACUCGUUGCGUUUGGUCCGACCACUCGGCUGUGUCCCCUGAGGAGCCAGAGGCUAGCAUAGGAGUAUCGAUCGCUCACCGCUCGUCUGAUCACGACGCAGUGCCUGGAGGAGCGCCGAGUGAUCGAUGCCGUGGCCCCGCCCCACUGCUGUUUAAAAGGCCGGGGGAUGGAGAAGACAGAAAGGCUUGGCUGUAUCCUCUGGGUCCUUCCACGCUAGUGAUACCGCUUUUUCCUCUGCACAGAUAACAACUUCGUACAAGGCUGUUUGCAUCCACCAUUUAAUCUCUGCAGCUAGGAUUAUUAGUUCUCCCUAUUUUACAGAGAGCGAAACUGAGGCUCAGUGAUUAAAGUGGCCACAUACUUGUACUUUUGGAAAGUCAGAUCCACAAUUACCCACGAGCAAGUGCUGCAUCCACAGUCUGUUCGAGUGAGAAGGCAAGUGGCCAGGGGACACACUCCUGCCACCUUUGCUUUGAUGCCGAGUGGUGCGUGGUCACUGGGACUUUUGUGUUUUGAGCACACACUCCUGUGGACUCCAAGUAUGCACGCCUUUUGCAGCAUUGCACAGAGGCAUGGAAAGUUAUGUUCGUACUGAGCUUGGGGUCUGAGUAGGAAACAGGCUUGCUCAGGAUCAGUUCAUAGAUUAGUGGAUUCUAGGUACGGUGCUAAAAUACUUUAAAAAUAUGAGGAUCGUAGCUAUUGUAAUGAUCAUGCUCAUCCCCAUUUUAGGGAGUGUAUUAGUCCGCUUUCAUGCUGCUGAUAAAGACAUACCCGAGACUGGGCAAUUUACAAACAAAAAGGUUUAAUGGAUUCACAGUUCCACAUGGCUGGGGAGGCCUCAAAAUCAUGGUGGAAGGUGAAAGGCACGUUUU